RNAcentral lists this ribosomal RNA (429 nucleotides) under Gemmatimonadota bacterium. RNAcentral's name for it is "Gemmatimonadetes bacterium partial 16S ribosomal RNA". It matches the Rfam family "Bacterial small subunit ribosomal RNA", at positions 355 to 776 of the family's 1533-position model. The record is from RNAcentral. Lineage: Bacteria; Pseudomonadati; Gemmatimonadota.
UAGGGAAUCUUCGGCAAUGGACGAAAGUCUGACCGAGCAACGCCGCGUGAGUGAAGAAGGUUUUCGGAUCGUAAAACUCUGUUGUUAGAGAAGAACAAGGACGUUAGUAACUGAACGUCCCCUGACGGUAUCUAACCAGAAAGCCACGGCUAACUACGUGCCAGCAGCCGCGGUAAUACGUAGGUGGCAAGCGUUGUCCGGAUUUAUUGGGCGUAAAGCGAGCGCAGGCGGUUUCUUAAGUCUGAUGUGAAAGCCCCCGGCUCAACCGGGGAGGGUCAUUGGAAACUGGGAGACUGGAGUGCAGAAGAGGAGAGUGGAAUUCCAUGUGUAGCGGUGAAAUGCGUAGAUAUAUGGAGGAACACCGGUGGCGAAGGCGGCGCUCUGGUCUGUAGCUGACGCGGAGGCGCGAAAGCGGGGGGAGCAAACAGG